UUGCAAUUUUCAAAUUCUUGU
RNAcentral lists this non-coding RNA (21 nucleotides) under Caenorhabditis elegans. The record is from RNAcentral. Lineage: Eukaryota; Metazoa; Nematoda; Chromadorea; Rhabditida; Rhabditidae.